UUUCCCUUUGGUCACAGGCCAGUGGGGCCCCUCGUGCUAUGCACACGUCUACUCUAAAGACCAGUGUUAGGUACUAUUUCCUGAAAGAAAUGGCCCCGGUCUUUCACAUAUUUAUCCUGAGAUGCCCUGGGGGGUGAGAUUGAGACUGAACAAAUACCAAAAUGUAAUUCCCAGACAUCAGGGACUGGAGGGAAGAGGAAACCUGAAGACUGCUGUGAAGUUACACUGGGUUCCCCCUGUUUGGAGGUGAGAUCAAGUAAAGGAUCCUGAUGAGUUUUUCACUUACCUUUUGUCAUGAAGCCCCUGUUCCAACUACUGCCUAUUCAUCAAGAAAUAUUCAGCUGAUUCCAAAGCCAUGGGCAGUUUUUAAAAGACUCCCUACCUCCCCACAUUUCCUCUAUUUUCCUUUCCUUCAUCUCCAAAUUUAAAAAUACAAAGGAAACCUGCAAAUG
Long non-coding RNA from Tachyglossus aculeatus (Australian echidna), 452 nucleotides. RefSeq lists it as uncharacterized. NCBI's taxonomy places the organism in Eukaryota, Metazoa, Chordata, Mammalia, Monotremata, Tachyglossidae. The transcript has 3 exons. The record is from RefSeq and is a predicted model, not a curated record.